GUUUUACUGUCUUGUUUAUUCUAAGUACAAAUGCAGAAAUUGCCUAAACCUCUGGACACUUUUCUUUUACAAGAGGACAUUAGUAUGAUGAGGUUCCACAGAAGAUUUUCCAAUUUCUUUGUGGAGAAGGGUUAGGUGAAUUCUAUUUGGUAUCUUCUCACAAAUUAAGCCAUGUCCAGAACCAGUACCACUUUUAAUUAUGUGCUUGGUAGUACUCUACUAAAUACUUGAAGAUGUUUUGCAACAUUCUCGGAGACCUUUGUCACACAAACACUGUCAUAUGGGAGGAAACGACAGACAAUUGGCAAGCCUUGUAGAGGGGAUGUAGGAGACAGCUUGGCUGCAUUCUCCAAGGACUCCAGAGUGUACUAAGCUAGGAAAGAAUUGUGUGCUUGCCCUUCAGGACUUGUGAAGUUUAAAAGUAGAACAAGGACAAUAUUUCUAACAUAUCAUCAGUUUCAUCUCUAAAUUAACCUGU
This 478-nucleotide long non-coding RNA is filed under the name Marmota monax (woodchuck). Lineage: Eukaryota; Metazoa; Chordata; Mammalia; Rodentia; Sciuridae. The record is from RNAcentral.